RNAcentral lists this unclassified non-coding RNA (394 nucleotides) under fungal sp. RNAcentral's name for it is "partial internal transcribed spacer region". The stretch from base 1 to 46 matches the Rfam family "Eukaryotic small subunit ribosomal RNA", at positions 1786 to 1831 of the family's 1831-position model. Lineage: Eukaryota; Fungi. The record is from RNAcentral.
AAGUCGUAACAAGGUUUCCGUAGGUGAACCUGCGGAAGGAUCAUCAACAAAUCCCUCUAAAUACUCAAAACACACCUUUGUGCUCAAAACCCCCUAUAAAUCUAUGCUCUUCUCCGGUCACUUGCUGAUCAAGUGUAUGGUUUGAAUGAGAUCGUCAUUGGUUGUACGAUCCUUCCAUGCAUGAGUUGAGUGUAGGUUUUUUUUUCCCUUACAACCAAAAAAACAACAACAUAAACUCCAAAAAAACACAAUCUUUAUCUAUCUGUUUCUGUUUUUUGUUUUUUUUUCUUUUCAUCUUGUAUGCACACUCGUGUGUAUAUAAUGUGAAAAAAAAAGGAAAUAAAAAUAUAAAAAAACUUGAAAACAACUUUUAACAAUGGAUCUCUUGGUUCUC